Molecule: non-coding RNA, 29 nt
Filed under: Rattus norvegicus (Norway rat)
Lineage: Eukaryota; Metazoa; Chordata; Mammalia; Rodentia; Muridae
Source: RNAcentral
CAGGAGAACAAACUGGGUACCCCAAGAUA